RNAcentral lists this ribosomal RNA (254 nucleotides) under uncultured bacterium. RNAcentral's name for it is "partial 16S ribosomal RNA". It matches the Rfam family "Bacterial small subunit ribosomal RNA", at positions 524 to 776 of the family's 1533-position model. The record is from RNAcentral.
UACGAAGGGGGCUAGCGUUGCUCGGAAUCACUGGGCGUAAAGCGCACGUAGGCGGAUUGCUAAGUCAGGGGUGAAAUCCUGGAGCUCAACUCCAGAACUGCCUUUGAUACUGGCGAUCUCGAGUCCGGGAGAGGUGAGUGGAACUGCGAGUGUAGAGGUGAAAUUCGUAGAUAUCUGGAGGAACACCGGUGGCGAAGGCGGCAUCCUGGACCAAUUCUGACGCUGAGUGAGCGAAAGCCAGGGGAGCAAACGGG